RNAcentral lists this ribosomal RNA (401 nucleotides) under uncultured bacterium. Its description in RNAcentral is "partial 16S ribosomal RNA". It matches the Rfam family "Bacterial small subunit ribosomal RNA", at positions 30 to 525 of the family's 1533-position model. The record is from RNAcentral.
AUUGAACGCUGGCGGCAUGCUUACACAUGCAAGUCGAACGAGUGGCGAACGGGUGAGUAAUACAUUGGAACGUGCCCGAGAGUGGGGGAUAACGAAGCGAAAGCUUGCUAUACCGCAUACUCACGGAGCGGCCGAUGGCCGAUUAGGUAGUUGGUGGGAUAAAAGCUUACCAAGCCGACGAUCUGUAGCUGGUCUGAGAGGACGACCAGCCACACUGGGACUGAGACACGGCCCAGACUCCUACGGGAGGCAGCAGUGGGGAAUUUUGGACAAUGGGCGCAAGCCUGAUCCAGCCAUGCCGCGUGCAGGAUGAAGGCUUCGGGUUGUAAACUGCUUUUGUACGGAACGCGGUACCGUAAGAAUAAGCACCGGCUAACUACGUGCCAGCAGCCGCGGUAUUC